GGAUGAAUGGCUGAGUGGAUAAAAGCAUCAAUUUUGAAAAUUGACAUAAGUUUAACUUAUCGUGGGUUCGAAUCCUACUUCAUCUG
RNAcentral lists this transfer RNA (86 nucleotides) under Gracilaria firma. RNAcentral's name for it is "tRNA-Ser". It matches the Rfam family "tRNA". From Rfam's summary of the family: Transfer RNA (tRNA) molecules are approximately 80 nucleotides in length. Lineage: Eukaryota; Rhodophyta; Florideophyceae; Gracilariales; Gracilariaceae. The record is from RNAcentral.